CCUACGGUGUGCAGCAGUGGGGAAUAUUGGGCAAUGGGCGCAAGCCUGACCCAGCAACGCCGCGUGAAGGAAGAAGGCUUUCGGGUUGUAAACUUCUUUUAAGAGGGAAGAGCAGAAGACGGUACCUCUUGAAUAAGCCACGGCAAACUAGGUGCCAGCAGCCGCGGUAAUACGUAGGUGGCAAGCGUUGUCCGGAUGUACUGGGUGGAAAGGGCGUGUAGCCGGGCUGACAAGUCAGAUGUGAAAUCCCGUGGCUCAACCACGGAACUGCAUUUGAAACUGUGGGGCUAGAGUGUCGGAGAGGCAGGCGGAAUUCCUGGUGUAGCGGUGAAAUGCGUAGAUAUUAGGAGGAACACCAGUGGCGAAGGCGGCCUGCUGGACGACAACUGACGGUGAGGCGCGAAAGCGUGGGGAGCAAACAGGAUUAGAUACCCCUGUAGUC
RNAcentral lists this ribosomal RNA (442 nucleotides) under uncultured bacterium. RNAcentral describes it as "partial 16S ribosomal RNA". It matches the Rfam family "Bacterial small subunit ribosomal RNA", at positions 338 to 795 of the family's 1533-position model. The record is from RNAcentral.